GAUCAUGGCUCAGGAUGAACGCUGGCGGCGUGCUUAACACAUGCAAGUCGAACGAAGCACCUUGAUUUGAUUCUUCGGAUGAAGAUCUUGGUGACUGAGUGGCGGACGGGUGAGUAACGCGUGGGUAACCGUGCCUCAUACAGGGGGAUAACAGUUAGAAAUGACUGCUAAUACCGCAUAAGACCACAGUACCGCAUGGUACAGGGGUAAAAACUCCGGUGGUAUGAGAUGGACCCGCGU
Molecule: ribosomal RNA, 240 nt
Filed under: uncultured bacterium
Lineage: Bacteria
Description: partial 16S ribosomal RNA
Rfam family: Bacterial small subunit ribosomal RNA
Source: RNAcentral